AGAGUUUGAUCAUGGCUCAGGACGAACGCUGGCGGCGUGCUUAACACAUGCAAGUCGAACGGGAUUAGUUGAUUGAGAGCUUCGGCAGGAAAUCGAUUAAUUCGAGUGGCGGACGGGUGAUAACGCGUGAGCAACCUGUCCCAGACAGGGGGAUAACACUUGGAAACAGGUGCUAAUACCCAUAAGACCACGGGAUCACAUGGUUCUGGGGUAAAAGGAGCAAUCCGGUUUGGGGUGGGCCGCGUCCGAUUAGCCAGUUGGCGGGGUAACGGCCCACCAAAGCGACGAUCGGUAGCCGACUGAGAGGGUGAACGGCCACAUUGGAACUGAGAGACGGUCCAAACUCCUACGGGAGGCAGCGUGGGGAAUAUUGGGCAAUGGGCGAAAGCCUGACCCAGCAACGCCGCGUGAGUGAAGAAGCCUUCGGGUUGUAAAGCUCUGUUAUAGUUGACGAAGGAAGUGACGGUAGGCUAUAAGGAACCCCGGCUAACUACGUGCCAGCAGCCGCGGUAAUACGUAGGGGGCGAGCGUUGUCCGGAAGACUGGGCGUAAAGGGCGUGUAGGCGGUCAUUUAAGUCUGGAGUGAAAGUCCUGCAUUCAUGUGGGAAUUGCUUUGGAUACUGGAUGACUUGAGUGCGGAAGAGGUAAGUGGAAUUCCCAUGUAGCGGUGAAAUGCGUAGAGAUUGGGAGGAACACCAGUGGCGAAGGCGACUUACUGGGCGUAACUGACGCUGAGGCGCGAAAGCGUGGGGAGCGAACAGGAUUAGAUACCCUGGUAGUCACGCGGUAAACGAUGAA
RNAcentral lists this ribosomal RNA (798 nucleotides) under uncultured Bacillota bacterium. RNAcentral describes it as "bacterial SSU rRNA". It matches the Rfam family "Bacterial small subunit ribosomal RNA", at positions 8 to 813 of the family's 1533-position model. The record is from RNAcentral. Lineage: Bacteria; Bacillati; Bacillota.